This 374-nucleotide ribosomal RNA is filed under the name uncultured eukaryote. RNAcentral's name for it is "SSU rRNA". It matches the Rfam family "Eukaryotic small subunit ribosomal RNA", at positions 592 to 963 of the family's 1831-position model. The record is from RNAcentral.
CAAUAGCGUAUAUUAAAGUUGUUGCGGUUAAAAAUGCUCGAUAGUUGGAUUUCUGCUGAGGACGACCGGUCCGCCCUCCGGGUGAGCAUCUGGUUCGGCCUUGGCAUCUUCUUGGUGAACGUAUCUGCACUUGACUGUGUGGUGCGGUACCCAGGACUUUUACUUUGAGGAAAUUAGAGUGUUUCAAGCAGGCAUACGCCUUGAAUACAUUAGCAUGGAAUAAUAAGAUAGGACCUCGGUUCUAUUUUGUUGGUUUCUAGAUCUGAGGUAAUGAUUAAUAGGGAUAGUUGGGGGCAUUGCGUAUUAAUACUGUCAGAGGUGAAAUUCUUGGAUUUGUUAAAAGACGGACUACUGCGAAAAGCAUUUUGCCAAGG